This 495-nucleotide ribosomal RNA is filed under the name uncultured bacterium. Its description in RNAcentral is "partial 16S ribosomal RNA". It matches the Rfam family "Bacterial small subunit ribosomal RNA", at positions 28 to 507 of the family's 1533-position model. The record is from RNAcentral.
GACGAACGCUGGCGGCGUGCCUAAUACAUGCAAGUAGAACGCUGAAGGAGGAGCUUGCUUCUCUGGAUGAGUUGCGAACGGGUGAGUAACGCGUAGGUAACCUGCCUGGUAGCGGGGGAUAACUAUUGGAAACGAUAGCUAAUACCGCAUAACAGUAGAUAUCGCAUGAUAUCUACUUGAAAGGUGCAAUUGCAUCACUACCAGAUGGACCUGCGUUGUAUUAGCUAGUUGGUGAGGUAACGGCUCACCAAGGCGACGAUACAUAGCCGACCUGAGAGGGUGAUCGGCCACACUGGGACUGAGACACGGCCCAGACUCCUACGGGAGGCAGCAGUAGGGAAUCUUCGGCAAUGGACGGAAGUCUGACCGAGCAACGCCGCGUGAGUGAAGAAGGGUGUCGGAUCGGAAAGCUCUGUUGUAAGAGAAGAACGAGUGUGAGAGUGGAAAGUUCACACUGUGACGGUAUCUUACCAGAAAGGGACGGCUAACUACGUG